AACCUGGUUGAUCCUGCCAGUGGCCAUUGCUAUUGGGAUUCGACUAAGCCAUGCGAGUCGAGAGGGUUCGGCCCUCGGCUGACGGCUCAGUAACACGUGGAUAAUCUGCCCUUAGGUGGAGGAUAACCUCGGGAAACUGAGAAUAAUACUCCAUAGGUCUAGGAUGCUGGAAUGCAUCUAGACUGAAAACUCCGGUGCCUAAGGAUGAGUCUGCGGACUAUCAGGUUGUAGUCAGGGUAAAGACCUGACUAGCCUACGACGGAUAUGGGUUGUGAGAGCAAUAACCCAGAGAUGAUAUCUGAGACACGAUAUCAGGCCCUACGGGGCGCAGCAGGCGCGAAAACUUCACACUGUGCGAAAGCACGAUGAGGGAAUCCCAAGUGCCAGCUCGUAAGAGUUGGCUGUUUUUCUGUCUAAAACACAGAGAGAGUAAGAGCUGGGUAAGACGGGUGCCAGCCGCCGCGGUAAUACCUGCAGCUCGAGUGGUGGCCGCUAUUAUUGGGCCUAAAACGUCCGUAGCCGGUUUGGUAAAUGCCUGGGUAAAUCGUGUAGCUUAACUAUACGAAUUCCGGGUAGACUGCUAAACUUGAGACCGGGAGAGGCUAGAGGUACUCCUGGGGUAGAGGUGAAAUUCUGUAAUCCUGGGGGGACCACCAGUGGCGAAGGCGUCUAGCUAGAACGGAUCUGACGGUGAGGGACGAAGCCCUGGGGCGCAAACCGGAUUAGAUACCCGGGUAGUCCAGGGUGUAAACGCUGCUUGCUUGAUGUUAGUUGGGCUCCGAGCCCAAUUAGUGUCGGAAAGAAGUUGUUAAGCAAGCUGCCUGGGAAGUACGGCCGCAAGACUGAAACUUAAAGGAAUU
Molecule: ribosomal RNA, 860 nt
Filed under: uncultured organism
Description: bacterial SSU rRNA
Rfam family: Archaeal small subunit ribosomal RNA
Source: RNAcentral